Molecule: ribosomal RNA, 253 nt
Filed under: uncultured bacterium
Lineage: Bacteria
Description: partial 16S ribosomal RNA
Rfam family: Bacterial small subunit ribosomal RNA
Source: RNAcentral
GACGAACCGUGCGAACGUUGUUCGGAAUCACUGGGCUUAAAGGGCGCGUAGGCGGCUUCGCAAGUCCGGGGUGAAAGCCCCCAGCCCAACUGGGGAAGUGCCUUGGAUACUGCGGGGCUCGAGCGAGGCAGGGGUCGUGGGAACUUCCGGUGGAGCGGUGAAAUGCGUUGAUAUCGGAAGGAACGCCGGUGGCGAAAGCGCACGACUGGUCCUCUUCUGACGCUGAGGCGCGAAAGCCAGGGGAGCAAACGGG